Armigeres subalbatus is the source of this 522-nucleotide long non-coding RNA. RefSeq lists it as uncharacterized. The record is from RefSeq and is a predicted model, not a curated record. The transcript is spliced from 2 exons. NCBI's taxonomy places the organism in Eukaryota, Metazoa, Arthropoda, Insecta, Diptera, Culicidae.
CAAAAAAGGAAUCAGUUUUUUCAACCGCGGCUUCGUCCGUCCGCUGUCCGAUGGUGCGUCUAAUUUUAAAACGGGAUAAGUGGUGCGUCGGAAUCUUGCUAGGAAUGGAGAAGCUGAGCUGACGUGAAUAUACCAUUCUGGUUUUCAGGCCAGGGAAUGCCACGGUCGAGGCCACGGCUUAGGUCCUGUCGGCAACGGAAUUGGAAGAUAAUAUGCAUGUUCCGGCGGUUUUGAAAAGACUAAAUAACCAUCGCAGUGUCUACGUGCCCAAUAUGCGCCUCCGACGGGUGCUUUGGUGAUUCUGUUGAAGCGGCAAUUUAUUUGAAUAAUAAAUUAUAAAACCCAGAUUAAUCCACCUAGCGGUGAUGGUGCCUUUCUCGUUAGUUCAAAAGGUUUGGAAAAAUCUAAAAUAACACCAAUAUGUGGAUUGGUCUUAUUUUUCAUAUUUGUUUAUAUGCAUAAAAAAAAUCUCGCCAAACGCAAUUUGUUGCAAAUAAAUCGGAUGAGCAUAAGAGCAAAAAA